CAAUUGUUUCAUCUGUAAGCAGCUUGGACACUGGGCUCGCGACUGUCCACUUCAACAGGGGGCACCAAUGCAGGGGCCCGGCCCCCAACAACCCCCACCCACACCAAUGCAGGGACCACCACCAGCGCCCAAUGGUUCCCUCGCGCCGCAGUAUCCCAUUUGGGGUCCACAAUAGCCCCUGUCAAAGCCCUGUCACUCCUAGGCCAAGAACACCUGAGCCCUGUAUGCAGGUUAUGAUAAAUGGACAGGUUAAGAGAAUGAUGGUGGACACGGGGGCCACAAACUCUAUCAUAGCCCACACAAUUCCAGGCACUUUGUCAAACUUACAUACUACUGUGGUGGGGGUAACAGGGACUGCGCAGACCAGCAUAUUUACACUUCCUCAAAUCGUCGAGGUGGCGGGGCAGACUGUCAGACAUUGCUUCCUCCACUGCCCGGACUGUCCCGUUAAUCUAUUGGGAAGGGAUUUGUUGUCACAACUCCGGGCUGAAUUAAUCUGCAACCCCGCCGGCAUCACCAUCACUUUCCCUAAUGGUUCCACACAAAACCUGACCAACACACCUGUCGCCUCGGCGCCUCACAAAGUGAUGAUGCAAUCGCCUCUGAAUGAUAAUGACUCAGCAGACAUUUAUUGGGCUUUGCUGCGGCCUGAAGACUCACAACAACGGGGUGUAAUGUCCAUGUUCAAUUUGUGGAAGCCAUGGAUUUACUCCCUCGGUUCUUAUAUUCCCCCGCCAGACCCACCACACUGUACUCUUGCUUACCUGUGCGAACCUGAUCUCCUGUAUGAUGAUGAUUUUAAGACCAUUGAAGGCCUUGUCUGGCAGUUGACCACAUCCGACAUAUUCGUGGGGAAAGAGGGGGCAGCGGCUGUCGUCAUAUUAACAGGGGAACAACAUCAUUGGUAUAAAAUGAAUAAUGCCAUACCACAUGUCUCUCUGGCUGUAGACGCCACAGGGGAAGCACGGAGUUUGGGACCGAUGGUUAAACGUCUGUCACACUUAUUGAUUGGGUUCCCACUGCGAUAACGGGGGUGCAUUUUUCCUUCUCGAAUCAGGCUUACAAAAUUACCUCAUCUGCGUCUGACUCUGUCGUUUUGCAACAUGACUCACUCACUCGAUACCAUGGCAGGGAAAAAACUGACCACCCUGCUGGGGAGGAAGUGUUUAAAUUACUACCUCCCGCGUUAUGGUCUACCGGCCCUUUUGAUGUUGGGUUUUGUGAUGUUCCCCCUCCUCGACAAAAAAACCCCAGUGUACCGACCACAGUAUCAAAACAAACCAGCUGCGGUGGCCGGCUUGUGAGACAACAUUGACGGACUUCUAAAGUCAGGGGUGAUUGAAAAAUCUGACUCCUGUUGGAACACACCCCUUCUUCCGGUGCCAAAAGCAGACGGCUUAACGUACCGAAUGGCACAUGAUCUGCGCGAGGUUAAUGAUGUUGUGCGGACUCAAGUGGCCUCGUUCCAAACCCUUUCACGGCCCUCAGCGUCCUAAAUUCCGAGCACAGGUGGUUUACAGUGAUUGACCUCGCCAAUGCUUUUUUCUGCAUUCCACUCGCUGACCACCUCCGGCACCCAUUCGCCUUUACAUUUGCAGGCCAGAAAUACUAGUACACUCGCCUGCCCCAGGGCUUCUCUCUGUCACCAGGCAUUUUCAAUUCCGUUUUACGUGAGCAGCUGAACAAACUUUCACUUCCUCCUGGGACAGUUUUAGUCCAGUACGUAGAUGACAUACUGCUUGCGUCACCUUCAGAGAGUGACGCUUUGGCUGCGGCUCAGUCAGUACUACAACAAUUGGCCUCCUCAGGGUUCAAGUGCAGCAAAAACAAACUGCAAUUUGUCCGACAGUGCGUGUCUUUUUUAGGCAGACGAUUAUCCGCUGCAGGUUUGGCUCCAUCAUCCACCCAGCUCUCCUCCAUCCUCAACCAUGCCCGGCCUCAGACUGUGCGGGACAUGAUGUCCUUUUUCGGCCUGUGUAACUACAGCCGGAACUACAUUCCCUCAUACUGCGACAACACCGCCAUCUUGCGUCGUCUCAUAUUGGACAAAGGCGUGCGCAACCUGACUCUCCCACUUGACUGGUCCUCUGAGGCAGAGGCUUGUUUCAUCCAGCUGAAACAACUCCUCGCACACUCAGUGACUCUCACGAUUCCUGACUACACGCGGCCGUUCUUUUUAGACGUGUCUGAAAAAGAUGGCAUUGUUAAUGCGGCACUUUUUCAGAAGGGGGGAGGCGGCACAGGGAGACAAGUUUUACUAUAUCAUAGCUCAAAGCUAGAUACCGUAGAGGACGGUCAACCACCAUGCACUAGAAUGGCGGCGGGGGUGGCAAAAGCAUUACAAAAAACAGCACAUGUAGUGAUGGCGCACCCACUGACUGUUUUGACAGACCACGGCAUUGUAUCAUAUAUACAAUCAGCCUCUUUUUCAAUGUCACAAAUGAGACAACAGCGACUUUCGAAAGUACUUCUACAACCACACAUCACUUUCACAGCAGACGGCGUGAACAUGGCAGAUCACAUGAACCCUCUGCCACCGCACGAUUUCCAGUGAUGCGAGAUGUUAAAAUAAGACCAGACAUGAAAGCAGGUCCGAUACUGGGUGACGAGGUACACCACGUGUAUACAGACGGUUGCUGUUUCAGAAACAAGGACACAGGGAAGUUAGAUUCGGCAUACGCAGUAGUCAAACUAGACAAAGAACAGGGGAAGUACAUUACAGAGGAAGCACAGGCACUCGAAGUUGGCUCAGCGCAAAAAGCGGAACUUGUGGCUGUGAUAAAGGCCCUGCGAAGACACAGUGGAGAAAAAAUACAUUUAUUUACAGAUUCUGCAUAUGUGCACAGCCUGUGUCAUUGGGAAUUGACAAAAAUGCAAAGGGGCAGCUGGAACACCUCCACCGGUAACCUGGUGAAACAGCAACAGGUGGUACAGCAGUUAGCCGAAGCUAUAAUGCAGCCCAAAGAGCUGGCCAUUAGAAAGUGCGCAGCACAUCAAAAAGGAACCGACCCAGUCUCAAGGGGAAAUGAAGCCGCAGAUGCAGCUGCUAAACAAGCUGGCGGCUACACAAACACUGCCUCAAAUAUAAUGAUAUUCGGCAAACAAAAUGAACCUAUGUCGUGCACACUCUCUGAUGUAAGUUCCAUGCAGGAAAAAAGCGGGAGUAUACGAACAAAAUCAAUAGGUACGGUUCGGGGCAAAAAAGGGACAGGACGGUCUAUGGAGGUCGGCACAGGGAAAGGUGGUACUCCCAUGCAAACUGUUUGACAUAGUGGUGAAAGAAGCGCAUGGCUACGCACACAACAGUCAAGCCAACACUGCCAGAAAGCUUGACUUUUGGUGGCAUCCGUUUUUACCACAAAUGGUGGCGGACUUUGUAAAAACAUGCACAACAUGUCAAAAAUACACUCCCAAACCCUCACUUAAACCACCUAUGGGGCAGUUCCCAGUCACCGACAUGGGACCACAAAACAGAACACAGGGGUACAGAUACCUGUUGGUAAUUGCGGACGCCUACUCAGGGUGGAUUGAGGCAGUCCCCACAAAAAGGGAACAUGCAAAUACCAAGGCAUGGCUUCCCACCACAAGUGAGGUUGGACAAUGGCUCUCAUUUCAAAAACACUGACUUACAAACUGUGGAAAAAGCAUAUGGCAUUAUGCAUAAAUUUGGGACGGUGUACCACCCACAAUCCCAAGGGAAGGUGGAAAGAGCAAAUGGGGUGGUAAAACAAAAAUUUGCAAAAAUCACCAGUGUCACAGGAAUGUCCUGGGUGGACGCUCUGCCCAUUGCUUUACUCGAAACCAGAUCAACCCCACACUCAGAGACCGGACUGUCCCCCUAUCAGCUACAGACUGGCCGACUGUUUGGAGAAGCCGCUGGGGAACCAACACCCCAGCAGUGUGAGGAACUACCCUUAAUACAGGGGGUGCACCCACACUAUUGGAACACACUAACGCAGGCGGUAGCUUCUCUCCAGACACAGGUGCGUUCUCUCCGACCACAACCAGAGAACGCAGGACCAGACACGGACGUGCAGUGGGUGUUCCUGAACGAUACAAAAGGAGGUGGGAGGAGCCUCGGUGGGAUGGCCCAUUCAAGGUCACUGAGAGGACAACGCAUGCUGUGAAAGUCGCGGGAAAAACUCUGUGGUUUCAUCUCAACCAGUGCGCACCUGCGGAGCAGCCCCGACAUCCUGAGUCCCAUACCUCCACCGCCCUCGGAGGAGGAGCUGAUGCAUGACACUGACCCCUGAGUACAUACACACCUCAGAGGCCAGACACAUAGUACACUGUUAGCUGUAUCUCCAAGUGCUGGCAACCUCUGGUGUAGGUCAUAGAAGAGCGCGACUAUAGCACUGUUAAGAAGAUAUCAAGACACCAACCACAACGUGUAAGCGGAUCAUGUCACCUUGUAUCUUUCUCCUAGUGUGGGUAUGUGUGUGUGUGUGUGUGUGUAUUUGCAUAUGUGUGUGUGCAUCGGUGUGCAUCUAUACAAUGUUCUCAGUUUAACAGGUGUGCAUCUAUACAAGGUUCUCAGUUUAACGAUUGUGAUUUAUACACUGUUCUCAUUUUAAACAUUCUACUAUAUGCAUUAUACUCACUGAACAGGUUGAUGACGACCAGUAAGACAACCUUUCCUUCGAUUCCGCUUAUCUUGCGGCUUCCGACGACGUUUGAUGUUCUUUUCAUGUGAUUUGUGUUCUGAGGGUUUUUUCUGAUGUAUUUUUGUGUGUGACGUAUGUUCCAUACGUCAACAGGGGGAUUUGUACUGAAAUAACAUUUUGUACUGUUGUAUUGAAAUAACACUUUGCACUGAACUAACAUAUAGCUAACUAAUGACAUAUAGCUAAAUAAUGGAAUAACAUAUAGCUCAAUAAAUACUGACACCUAUAAAGCUUGAGAUACGUUAUACUUAAGAUUUUAUAACAAAUCUUGCAGUGCCUGCACUACGUGCAUUAGACUAAUUAACAUACAGACAGUAGAUGUCACAAGAUGUUCUGUUCAGACCAAAUUUAGCCUAGGACAGCAAAAUAAUUACACAAUAACGAUUACGAUAAGUCCAGACACAUAGUCAGGCGGUUCACCCACGUACAGACCGCACCCACCAUGCGGGAUAAAUAGCAAAUUAACUAUUGUACCAGGUUCCUUCCCUCUGCGCGAUCCAGCCCUGGUUGGUGACUCGUGAGACAGAAACCCAGAGACUCUGUAAGUAUUGUUAUUGCUUGGAGCAAAUAAACAUGAUUUGAUGGAAUGCAUUGAACUCAUGACUGUUUUCUCCCUCUGAAUAAACAAACACACGGCGAGGACAUGGCCGAGGUCUAGGACGAGAAUCCUGCCGAACAUAUGCCACUUUUAAGAGAGACUCUUCAGGACUUGGCAGACAUGGGACUGAUGCUCCUGGAGGGAUCUGGAAAAGAUCAGAAUGUCAUCCAGUCCAGAACAGCCGGCGUCUCUGCCCCAGCAACAGCUCCACGUCGUGGCCGACACCGGUUAUUGAUGAAUUUUGCAAAGCUCAGCAACGGAAUGAUGGGUGGGCGCUGGGGCAAGGCUGACGGCAGUGACUGCAUCGCUAUGACAUAACAUUUCUGCAUAAUCCUUUCAAAGUGGCCUGUGUCUGUCGGUGCUUCAGGAUAUCAGUUAUUCAUUCAGUCAAUCACCUUGUGGUUCCAAGUCAUAAAGUGAUCUCUUCUGUCCAACCUUCUGAGUGACCAUCUCACCUUAGCAACCUGAAGUGGUUUUUGAUGUUCCAUGCCUCCCUGGAGACGAAACCCCCAUGGCGCUCCCCCGGAUAACGUAAUUAUCAUUUCUUCUGCAACCAUUCUUCCUCCCUUUUUUUUAAAGCUGUUCUUCUUGUUCUUGAUUAUUUUCCAUUCCUUUUAGUUUUUUGUUAUUUCAUCUGGGGGGCCCUUAGUGCUUUGGCCCCAUGGUCAGUGGUCA
This is a long non-coding RNA of Scophthalmus maximus (turbot), 5937 nucleotides long. RefSeq lists it as uncharacterized. NCBI's taxonomy places the organism in Eukaryota, Metazoa, Chordata, Actinopteri, Pleuronectiformes, Scophthalmidae. The transcript has 6 exons. The record is from RefSeq and is a predicted model, not a curated record.